GGGUCGUUAGCUCAGCUGGUAGAGCAGUGGACUCUUAAUCCAUUGGUCGAGUGUUCGAAUCACUCACGGCCCACCA
RNAcentral lists this transfer RNA (76 nucleotides) under Gallionellaceae bacterium. Its description in RNAcentral is "tRNA-Lys". It matches the Rfam family "tRNA". From Rfam's summary of the family: Transfer RNA (tRNA) molecules are approximately 80 nucleotides in length. The record is from RNAcentral. RNAcentral also lists the same sequence under 2 other names. Lineage: Bacteria; Pseudomonadati; Pseudomonadota; Betaproteobacteria; Nitrosomonadales; Gallionellaceae.